RNAcentral lists this ribosomal RNA (484 nucleotides) under uncultured bacterium. Its description in RNAcentral is "partial 16S ribosomal RNA". It matches the Rfam family "Bacterial small subunit ribosomal RNA", at positions 30 to 507 of the family's 1533-position model. The record is from RNAcentral.
AUUGAACGCUGGCGGCAGGCCUAACACAUGCAAGUCGAGCGGAUGAAGGGAGCUUGCUCCUGGAUUCAGCGGCGGACGGGUGAGUCAUGCCUAGGAAUCUGCCUGGUAGUGGGGGAUAACGUCCGGAAACGGGCGCUAAUACCGCAUACGUCCUGAGGGAGAAAGUGGGGGAUCUUCGGACCUCACGCUAUCAGAUGAGCCUAGGUCGGAUUAGCUAGUUGGUGGGGUAAAGGCCUACCAAGGCGACGAUCCGUAACUGGUCUGAGAGGAUGAUCAGUCACACUGGAACUGAGACACGGUCCAGACUCCUACGGGAGGCAGCAGUGGGGAAUAUUGGACAAUGGGCGAAAGCCUGAUCCAGCCAUGCCGCGUGUGUGAAGAAGGUCUUCGGAUUGUAAAGCACUUUAAGUUGGGAGGAAGGGCAGUAAGUUAAUACCUUGCUGUUUUGACGUUACCAACAGAAUAAGCACCGGCUAACCUCGUG